Molecule: ribosomal RNA, 497 nt
Filed under: uncultured bacterium
Lineage: Bacteria
Description: partial 16S ribosomal RNA
Rfam family: Bacterial small subunit ribosomal RNA
Source: RNAcentral
GAUGAACGCUGGCGGCGUGCCUAAUACAUGCAAGUCGAGCGAACAGACGAGGAGCUUGCUCCUCUGACGUUAGCGGCGGACGGGUGAGUAACACGUGGAUAACCUACCUAUAAGACUGGGAUAACUUCGGGAAACCGGCGCUAAUACCGGAUAAUAUAUUGAACCGCAUGGUUCAAUAGUGAAAGACGGUUUUGCUGUCACUUAUAGAUGGAUCCGCGCCGCAUUAGCUAGUUGGUAAGGUAACGGCUUACCAAGGCAACGAUGCGUAGCCGACCUGAGAGGGUGAUCGGCCACACUGGAACUGAGACACGGUCCAGACGCCUACGGGAGGCAGCAGUAGCGAAUCUUCCGCAAUGGGCGAAAGCCUGACGGAGCAACGCCGCGUGAGUGAUGAAGGUCUUCGGAUCGUAAAACUCUGUUAUUAGGGAAGAACAAAUGUGUAAGUAACUAUGCACGUCUUGACGGUACCUAAUCAGAAAGCCACGGCUAACUACGUG